AUUGUCUAUAUUCAUAUAUGUUCUUAUUGCUUGCAUUGAACCGAUCACUCAGUGCAUGAAUUAGGGUUAAUCGAUUUAGCUAGCCGUUAAUUGAUAACUUGACACGAUUUGAAUGAGCCUUGCAUCCCUAGUCAGCGAGAGUAGAUAUUAAGGUGCAUUGUGAACAUAGCGGACUUGAUUUCUAAGGCUUGCCAUCGUAUCUUGAUCCAAACGAGAGUUUAGGCAUCAAGACCGAUUUGCAAAGGAAUCAACACCACGAGAGUGAGUUGAUUCAAUCAGAGUGAUCCGAGUUUAGACUUGUUAUAAACUGGACUUGAAUAAUUGCUUGGUUUGCGAUUUCAA
Molecule: long non-coding RNA, 342 nt
Filed under: Brassica napus (rape)
Lineage: Eukaryota; Viridiplantae; Streptophyta; Magnoliopsida; Brassicales; Brassicaceae
Description: long non-coding RNA (BNAP_LNC026987)
Source: RNAcentral